This is a long non-coding RNA of Bactrocera dorsalis (oriental fruit fly), 1679 nucleotides long. RefSeq lists it as uncharacterized. NCBI's taxonomy places the organism in Eukaryota, Metazoa, Arthropoda, Insecta, Diptera, Tephritidae. The record is from RefSeq and is a predicted model, not a curated record. The transcript has 3 exons.
CUUGUUUAAAACAGUGAACAAAAAAUAUAUAGCAAAAUCAAUAUUAAUCAUCGGCGAUUAUUAAGCGGCGCUUGCGCAUCGCGAAUAAUUUAAAUGCUGAAUCUCUACACAUUAGUAAUUUAUAGAAGCUUAUAGUAGUGCCAAUUUUGUUAUUGCUGUUUAUAUAACUAUGUGUUUAGUUACAUUGCCAAUGGUGCUAAAACUAACUACGAUUUCUAAGUAAGAGAAAAGCUGUAAGCCGUGAAUAGCACUGGCAAGUAGCAGCUUAAGAGUGACUCUGGGUACCAAAUGCUUAAUCAUCGUCUAUUUUUGAGUAUUUGCUUAGCUCCCAUUACUUUGCUUCUCUUUAUGAAAAUGGAACGUUUAUGCCUUGAUGGAAUGGAACGCAUUAUGAGUAGUCAAUUUUUUUUUUAUUUUUAAAGUUGUGAAGUAGAUUAAGGUGCGUGCACCAAAACAUUUUAUACUCUCGCAGUUGGUAGUCAUAGAAACUAAUAUUGGUCAGAAAAAUUUAUAAUAAAAAGUGAAGAAUGAGAAUUCAACUUUCGUUAUUACACAAUAUUAUGUAUCGAUUAAAAUUGAAUUUGGUUGACUGAAUCUGGUUAUGUCUGCGUAAGUUAUAGCGACGGCAGCCUUGAAAGGCGAUUAAAAUAUGAUACAUACUGUUUUUCAGUUGUAUUUUUGUUCGUUUCAGUUUUGAACAUUAUUUAAGGAGCACAAAAAAAUCAAUUUAUACAAAAAAAUUAUGUUUUCGAAAAAAGUAGAUUUAAGAAUUGUAUGGUUAUUUGCUCAUAUUCAUAAAAACGAAACAACAAAGCAUGAAAAAAUAUGUUUACGAGAGUUUAAUUUUUAUUUUGUAUUACUUCAAUUGUAAGCCAUUGAAAUAAUUUAUUGUUUUUAUUAUCCAAAAGUUGUCAACUUGUUCAGCUUGACUUGACAUUUUUUUAUUAUUACUAUAUCGACUAUAUUUGAAUCUAUGGAACAUAUAAGAUUGGAGAAAAUCUUGACUCGUAAGAUAAUGUCAAAUUUACUGGGUGACCAAAGAUUUAUUUUAUAUUUAUAGUAUUAUAUUAAAACCUUUCGUCGAGUGAAUUAAACCUUCUUAUAUAAUCCAUUAGCCAUUCGAAGUCCGUUUGAAACUUGUAGUUCCCUGCAUUUGUCAGAUAACCAGAAAUUUAAGAUAAGCUUCGUCUUAUUUUUGAACCCGUGCGAGUUUGGUGUGUUUCUGACUGUAAUCUAGGAGUUGUCAUAUAUGUAUGUACAUAAACUCGAAAAAAUGUACGGAGAAAAGACAGUUGGAUAACUAGUUAAAUCUGUGUUCAAAAUCAGUUACAAAAUCUUUAUAACUUGUUGAUUUAACUGCAGGGAAUUUACAUUGAAGAAGCGCACAUGCACAUGAAAAUCAUUCGCAGAGUGAAUUUUAUGUUAUAAGUUACAUUAUAUUUACAUAUACAUACGUACAUAUAUAUGUAUGUAAGAACGUAUACAUGUCCCUUAUUUAGAAGGAUAAUAAACGUACAUGACUAAACGAACACUGACAAUAAAAGACAACAAAAACAGUUCAGGGAUUGCUUUAUCCAAUGCAAAAACUGGCGCCAGCAUUCUUUGACCUAGUAAGGCCAGGCUGAAUUUCCUUUAACGUACAUACAUAUGUGCAUAUUUAUAUGUAUAUGUAUGUAUGU